Non-coding RNA from Ixodes scapularis (black-legged tick), 73 nucleotides. The record is from Rfam. NCBI's taxonomy places the organism in Eukaryota, Metazoa, Arthropoda, Arachnida, Ixodida, Ixodidae.
UCUUGGUUAGCUCAGUUGGUGGAGCGCUCCACUAGAAAUGGAGAGAUGCCUGGCUCAAUACCACGACCAGGAA